Molecule: ribosomal RNA, 1490 nt
Filed under: uncultured bacterium
Lineage: Bacteria
Description: bacterial SSU rRNA
Rfam family: Bacterial small subunit ribosomal RNA
Source: RNAcentral
AAUAAACGCUAGCGGCGUGCAUAACACAUGCAAGUCGAACGAAAAUUAUUUUGUAAUGAGUAGCUUGCUACAAGUUAUAGAAUAAUUUUAGUGGCAAACGGGUGAGUAAUACAUGGAUAAUUUCCUUUCAGAGAGGGACAACUUCGGGAAACUGAAGUUAAUACCGCAUAUUGCCGGUUUCCGGAUUUACGGAUUCUGGUGAAAGAUAGCAAUAUCGCUGAGAGAUAAGUCCAUGCCUGAUUAGCUAGUUGGCAGGGUAACGGCCUACCAAGGCAACGAUCAGUAGGGGCGCUGAAAGGCGGACCCCCCACACUGGAACUGAGAAACGGUCCAGACUCCUACGGGAGGCAGCAGUGAGGAAUUUUGCGCAAUGCUCGAAAGAGUGACGCAGCGACGCCGCGUGAAUGAUGAAGUUCUUCGGAAUGUAAAAUUCUGUCAGAUGGGACGAAUACCUUAAUUGGUUUGACUGUACCGUCAGAGGAAGCACCGGCUAAUCCCGUGCCAGCAGCCGCGGUAAUACGGGAGGUGCGAGCGUUAUUCGGAUUUACUAGGCGUAAAGGGUGUGUAGGUGGUCGUUUAAGUCGGAUGUGAAAUCUUUGGGCUUAACCCAAAAACUGCAUUUGAUACUGAUCGACUUGAGUAUAGGAGAGGAGAAUAGAAUUCCUGGUGGAGCGGUGAAAUGUGUAGAUAUCAGGAAGAAUAUCUGUGGCGAAGGCGAUUCUCUGGCCUAUUACUGACACUGAAACACGAGAGCGUGGGGAGCAAACAGGAUUAGAUACCCUGGUAGUCCACGCCGUAAACGAUGUGCAUUAGGUGUAGGAGGUAUUCAAUCCUUCUGUACCGCAACUAACGCGUUAAAUGCACCGCCUGGGGAGUACGGCCGCAAGGCUGAAACUCAAAGGAAUUGACGGGGGCCCGCACAAGCGGUGGAGCAUGUGGUUUAAUUCGAUGCAACGCGAGGAACCUUACCUAGGCUUGACAUAUAUCCGAAUAUAUUAGAAAUAAUAUAGUCCAGCAAUGGACGGAUAAACAGGUGCUGCAUGGCUGUCGUCAGCUCGUGUCGUGAGAUGUUGGGUUAAGUCCCACAACGAGCGCAACCCCUGUUCUUAGUUACCAUCUUCUGAGUAAUCAGAGAGGGACUCUAAGGAGACUGCCCUGGAUAACAGGGAGGAAGGCAGGGACGACGUCAAGUCAUCAUGGCCUUUAUGCUUAGGGCCACACACGUGCUACAAUGGCCUAUACAGAGGGUUGCAGGAUCGAGAGAUUGAGCUAAUCCCUAAAAUAGGUCCCAGUUCGGAUUGAAAGCUGCAAUUCGCCUUCAUGAAGUCGGAAUCGCUAGUAAUCGUAAAUCAGAACGUUACGGUGAAUACGUUCCCGGGCCUUGUACACACCGCCCGUCACACCACGAGAAUUGAUUGAACUAGAAGUCACUCGAGAUAGUUUGCUUGCAAAUUAUCAAGGUGCCUAAGGUACGAUUAGUGAUUGGGGUG